This is a non-coding RNA of Triticum urartu, 135 nucleotides long. The record is from Rfam. NCBI's taxonomy places the organism in Eukaryota, Viridiplantae, Streptophyta, Magnoliopsida, Poales, Poaceae.
AUUGUACUCCCUCAGUCCGAAAAUACUUGUCAUCAAAAUGAACAAAAUGGAGUGUAUUUAGAUGUAUUUUAAUUCUAGAUACAUUCCUUUUUAUCUAUUUUGAUGACAAGUAUUUUCGGACGGAAGGAGUAGUUA